RNAcentral lists this ribosomal RNA (825 nucleotides) under uncultured archaeon. Its description in RNAcentral is "bacterial SSU rRNA". It matches the Rfam family "Archaeal small subunit ribosomal RNA", at positions 45 to 879 of the family's 1478-position model. The record is from RNAcentral.
UAAGCCUGCGAGUCAACGUAGCAAUACGUGGCAUACGGCUCAGUAACACGUAGUCAACAUAACCAAAGGACGUGGAUAAACUCGGGAAACUGAGGCUAAACCGCGAUAGACCCAGAUACCUGGAAUGGUUUUUGAUUGAAAUCUAUAUGGCCUUUGGAUUGGACUGCGUCCGAUCAGGCUGUUGGUGAGGUAAUGGCCCACCAAACCUAUAACCGGUACGGGCUCUGAGAGGAGGAGCCCGGAGAUGGGUACUGAGACAAGGACCCAGGCCCUAUGGGGCGCAGCAGGCGCGAAACCUCUGCAAUAGGCGAAAGCUUGACAGGGUUACUCUGAGUGACUUUCGCUAAGAAAGUCUUUUGACACCUGUAAAAAUGGUGUAGAAUAAGGGGUGGGCAAGUCUGGUGUCAGCCGCCGCGGUAAUACCAGCACCCCGAGUGGUCGGGACGAUUAUUGGGCCUAAAGCAUCCGUAGCCGGCCUUACAAGUCCCCCGUUAAAUCCAACUGCUUAACAGAUGGGCUGCGGAGGAUACUAUAAGACUAGGAGGCAGGAGAGGCAAGCGGUACUCAAUGGGUAGGGGUAAAAUCCGUUGAUCCAUUGAAGACCACCAGUGGCGAAGGCGGCUUGCCAGAACGCGCUCGACGGUGAGGGAUGAAAGCUGGGGGAGCAAACCGGAUUAGAUACCCGGGUAGUCCCAGCUGUAAACGAUGCAGACUCGGUGAUGAACAGGCUUCGUGCCUGUUCAGUGCCGCAGGGAAGCCGUUAAGUCUGCCGCCUGGGGAGUACGGUCGCAAGACUGAAACUUAAAGGAAUUGGCGGGGGAGCAC